Molecule: ribosomal RNA, 451 nt
Filed under: Staphylococcus intermedius
Lineage: Bacteria; Bacillati; Bacillota; Bacilli; Caryophanales; Staphylococcaceae
Description: bacterial SSU rRNA
Rfam family: Bacterial small subunit ribosomal RNA
Source: RNAcentral
AUGCAAGUCGAGCGAACAGAUAAGGAGCUUGCUCCUUUGACGUUAGCGGCGGACGGGUGAGUAACACGUGGGUAACCUACCUAUAAGACUGGAAUAACUCCGGGAAACCGGGGCUAAUGCCGGAUAACAUGUUGAACCGCAUGGUUCUACAGUGAAAGACGGUCUUGCUGUCACUUAUAGAUGGACCCGCGCCGUAUUAGCUAGUUGGUGGGGUAACGGCCUACCAAGGCGACGAUACGUAGCCGACCUGAGAGGGUGAUCGGCCACACUGGAACUGAGACACGGUCCAGACUCCUACGGGAGGCAGCAGUAGGGAAUCUUCCGCAAUGGGCGAAAGCCUGACGGAGCAACGCCGCGUGAGUGAUGAAGGUCUUCGGAUCGUAAAGCUCUGUUGUUAGGGAAGAACAAAUGUGUAAGUAACUGUGCACAUCUUGACGGUACCUAACCAGAA